AGGGUGUCGGUGGGUAUGGGCCCACCGGUGCCGCAGCAAACGCAUUAAGUGAUCCACCUGGGGAGUACGUUCGCAAGAAUGAAACUCAAAGGAAUUGACGGGGACCCGCACAAGCGGUGGAGCAUGUGGUUUAAUUAGAAGCAACGCGAAGAACCUUACCAAGUCUUGACAUCCCAUUGGCGAGUGAGUAACGUCACUUUCCCUUCGG
RNAcentral lists this ribosomal RNA (208 nucleotides) under uncultured bacterium. Its description in RNAcentral is "partial 16S ribosomal RNA". It matches the Rfam family "Bacterial small subunit ribosomal RNA", at positions 817 to 1022 of the family's 1533-position model. The record is from RNAcentral.